ACUGACUUUUAGCUACAUGUAGAGAUGAGGGACGUGUCUGUUCUGAUGUUCCAUCAGAUACUUCAAAUUGUGUGUGUUUCCUCUCCAUUUAGGGUAGCAGUUCUUCUGAAAAAUCCAAAUCCGUAGGAUCAUCCCGCUCCAAAAGGAAACCCACAGUCGUAACAAAAUAUGUUGGCUCCGAUGACGAACAAAAUUUGGAUGAAUCCAUGAAUCAGGAUGGCUCGAAUGAAAACUCCGAAAA
Anolis sagrei ordinatus is the source of this 241-nucleotide non-coding RNA. Lineage: Eukaryota; Metazoa; Chordata; Lepidosauria; Squamata; Anolidae. The record is from RefSeq and is a predicted model, not a curated record.